RNAcentral lists this signal recognition particle RNA (299 nucleotides) under Saimiri boliviensis boliviensis (Bolivian squirrel monkey). RNAcentral describes it as "Metazoan signal recognition particle RNA (ENSSBOG00000004801.1)". It matches the Rfam family "Metazoan signal recognition particle RNA". Rfam says of the family: The signal recognition particle (SRP) is a universally conserved ribonucleoprotein. It is involved in the co-translational targeting of proteins to membranes. The record is from RNAcentral. Lineage: Eukaryota; Metazoa; Chordata; Mammalia; Primates; Cebidae.
GCCGGGCACAGUGGCACGUGCCUGUAGUCCCAGCUACUCGGAGGCUGAGGUGGGAAGACCGCUUGAGCCCAGGAGUUCUGGGCUGUAGCGCAAAUAUGCCGAUUGGGUGUCCGCACUAAGUUCGGCAUCAAUAUGGUGACCUCCCAGGAGCGAGGGAACACCAGGUUGUCUAAGGAGGGUUGAAUCAGCUCAGGUCGGAAACGGAGCAGGUCAAAACUCCCAUGCUGACCAGUAGUAGGUUUGCCCCUGUGAAUAGCCACUGCACUCUAGCCUGGGCAACAAAGAGAGACCCUGUCUCU